Molecule: long non-coding RNA, 504 nt
Organism: Zingiber officinale
Lineage: Eukaryota; Viridiplantae; Streptophyta; Magnoliopsida; Zingiberales; Zingiberaceae
Exons: 2
Source: RefSeq, a predicted model, not a curated record
ACCUGUUUAACAAAUUUAAAGAGAUACCUGAUGAUUAGGUUUAGUCCGUCUCUACCACCAAAUCAGAUAUCAAUUCACGGAGGGGGAAAAAAAAAUCAAAAGCAUAUACGCAGUAAAUACAAAGCAGCAGCAUAGAACGCAACACAAUCUUAAACCACAAGGAACAACGAGAAGAAAAUGCCCUAAAAUGAUUGACUGCAGGUAAAAAGAAAGAAGCAUCGGGAAACAAGGGCCUUCGGACACCAGUUCGAGAGGGAGGAGGAAAAGAUAGGGUUUUGGUACCAGUUCCAGAGACCGAUCUUGAAGGGGUCGGACUUGCGAAAGGAGAAAGGGGAGAGGGUAUCGAUCCUCCAUUGAGCGAGCCGCGGCGUGGUCUCCACCCGGUACGCGCGCUCGCUCAUCCUCGCUGCCGACGCCGCGAUCGCUGCGGCGACGUCAUUGAUACAGUCGAAGAUCCCCAGCAAGUCCUCCGCCUUUCCCAGUUUCGCCUGCUGCUCUUCCACG